AUGCAAGUCGAACGAGGUCUUCGGACCUAGUGGCGCACGGGUGAGUAACAUGUGGGAAUCUACCUAAAGGUUCGGAAUAACUGCGGGAAACUGUAGCUAAUACCGGAUGUGUCUGAAAAGAGAAAGAUUUAUCGCCUUUAGAUGAGCCCGCACUAGAUUAGCUAGUUGGUAAGGUAACUGCUCUACCAAGGCUACGAUCUAUAGCUGAUUUGAGAGGAUGAUCAGCCACACUGGGACUGAGACACGGCCCAGACUCCUACGGGAGGCAGCAGUAGGGAAUAUUGGACAAUGGGGGAAACCCUGAUCCAGCAAUGCCGCGUGAGUGAAGAAGGCCUUCGGGUUGUAAAACUCUUUCAUCAAUGAUGAUAAUGACAUUAGUUGAAGAAGAAGCUCCGGCUAACUUCGUGCCAGCAGCCGCGGUAAUACGAAGGGGGCUAGCGUUGUUCGGAAUCACUGGGCGUAAAGCGUAUGUAGGCGGAUCAAAAAGUUAGAUGUGAAAUCCCUGGGCUUAACCCAGGAACUGCAUUUAAAACUAGUGAUCUAGAAAUUGGUAAGGGUUAGUAGAAUUUCCAGUGUAGAGGUGAAAUUCGUAGAUAUUGGAAAGAAUACCAGAAGCGAAGGCGACUAACUAGGCCAUUUUUGACGCUGAGAUACG
RNAcentral lists this ribosomal RNA (655 nucleotides) under uncultured marine bacterium. RNAcentral's name for it is "bacterial SSU rRNA". It matches the Rfam family "Bacterial small subunit ribosomal RNA", at positions 55 to 755 of the family's 1533-position model. The record is from RNAcentral.